This 200-nucleotide ribosomal RNA is filed under the name uncultured Glomus. RNAcentral's name for it is "partial small subunit ribosomal RNA". It matches the Rfam family "Eukaryotic small subunit ribosomal RNA", at positions 591 to 789 of the family's 1831-position model. The record is from RNAcentral. Lineage: Eukaryota; Fungi; Glomeromycota; Glomeromycetes; Glomerales; Glomeraceae.
CCAAUAGCGUAUAUUAAAGUUGUUGCAGUUAAAAAGCUCGUAGUUGAAUUUCGGGAUUGGCGCAUCGGUCGUGCCUCACGGGGUAUGAACUGGUGCAGUCAAUUUCUCACCUUCUGGAGAACCGCGAUGUCCUUAAUUGGAUGCCGCAGGGAACCAGGACCUUUACUUUGAAAAAAUUAGAGUGUUUAAAGCAGGCAUUU